This 57-nucleotide transfer RNA is filed under the name Camelus bactrianus (Bactrian camel). It matches the Rfam family "tRNA", at positions 8 to 63 of the family's 71-position model. Rfam says of the family: Transfer RNA (tRNA) molecules are approximately 80 nucleotides in length. Their secondary structure includes four short double-helical elements and three loops (D, anti-codon, and T loops). RNAcentral also lists the same sequence under 2 other names. The record is from Rfam by way of RNAcentral. Lineage: Eukaryota; Metazoa; Chordata; Mammalia; Artiodactyla; Camelidae.
UAGCUCAGUGGUAGAGCACAUGCUUAGCAUGCAUAAAGUCCUGGGUUCCAUCCCCAG